Molecule: ribosomal RNA, 1186 nt
Filed under: metagenome
Description: SSU rRNA
Rfam family: Eukaryotic small subunit ribosomal RNA
Source: RNAcentral
AGUCUCGUGAUUGGAAUGAGGACAAUGUAAAAGCCUUAUCGAGGAUCCACUGGAGGGCAAGUCUGGUGCCAGCAGCCGCGGUAAUACCAGCUCCAGUAGCGUAUAUUAAAGUUGUUGCAGUUAAAAAGCUCGUAGUUGAAGUUCUGUACGGAUUGAGUCUCCACGGAGACACAAGCCGUACAUCCGUCUGAUUCUUCAGACACUUUACCUUGAGCAAAUUAGAGUGUUCCAGGCAGGCGCCAGCCUGAAUAGUCCAGCAUGGAAUAAUAGAAAAGGACGAAGAGCCACUGUUGGUGCGUGGCCCUUAGUAAUGAUUAAUAGGGAUAGUUGGGGGCAUUCGUAUUUAAUUGUCAGAGGUGAAAUUCUAUGAUUUAUUAAAGACGAACCUAUGCGAAAGCAUUUGCCAAGGAUGUUUUCAUUAAUCAAGAACGAAAGUUAAGGGAUCAAAGACGAUCAGAUACCGUCGUAGUCUUAACCAUAAACUAUGCCGACUAGAGAUUGGAUGGGGAAUUCAAGACCCAUUCAGGAUCUUCCGAGAAAUCAAAGUCUUUGGGUUCUGGGGGAGUAUGGUCGCAAGACUGAAACUUAAAGGAAUUGACGGAAGGGCACCACCAGGUGUGGAGCCUGCGGCUUAAUUUGACCCAACACGGGGAAACUUACCAGGGCCAGACAUGGCAAGGAUUGACAGACUGACAGCUCUUUCUUGAUUCUAUGGGUGGUGGUGCAUGGCCGUUCUUAGUUGGUGGAGUGAUUUGUCUGGUUAAUUCCGAUAACGAACGAGACCUCAGCCUGCUAACUAGUUCGUUCCUGCUUAGGAUCGGGACUUCUUAGAGGGACUUUGGGGGUUACUCCAAGGAAGUUUGAGGCAAUAACAGGUCUGUGAUGCCCUUAGAUGUCCUGGGCCGCACGCGCGCUACACUGAUGCAGGCAGUAAGUUCCAUGUCAGACAUGUCAUGGGAACCUUCAAACUGCAUCGUGAUGGGGAUUGACUCUUGGAAUUCUUGGUCAUAAACGAGGAAUACCUAGUAAACGCAAGUCAUCAGCUUGCAUUGAUUACGUCCCUGCCCUUUGUACACACCGCCCGUCGCUCCUACCGAUUGAGUGGUGAGGUGAACCCUUCGGACCGCUCACCCGGGAAGUUGUGUAAACCUUACCACUUAGAGGAAGGAGAAGUCGUAACAAGGUU